UCUAAAUAAAUUCUUUUCUUUGCAGGGCAGAAUCAGAGAAUCACAGAAUGGUUUGGGUUGGAAGAGACACUAAAGCCUACCCAGUGCCAACACCUUGCCGUGGGCAGGGCUGCCACCCACUGGGUCAGACUGCCCAGGGCCCCAUCCAACCUGGCCUUGAGGGCCUCCAGGCCUGAGGCACCCACAGCUUCUCUGGGCAGCCUGUGCCAAGGCCUCGCUGCCUUCUAAAUCUGUAUCAGAAUCUAUAUGCAUUCUUUAGACUUAUUUUUCUACCUGUUAACCAUGCAAUUCUUCUAUCUCAUUCUGUGUUAAUUGGCAGUAACAUCUACAGUCAUCUGAAACUUUUGAAAACAGACUAUUUCUCACAAGAAAUCAAAGUCUUCUUACUUCAUGUGGAAAAUCUUCUUACUUCAUGUGAAUACAGAUCAGUCAUGAUGGCAUUUCCUGGCUCAGAGAGGACCCUAGAACACUGCAGGAUAAGUGCUGUUUCCUGCACUGGCACACCCAACACUUUCUGCCAUGCCCCCAAGCCCAAGCAGGAUUUGUCUUUCAGAUGA
RNAcentral lists this long non-coding RNA (557 nucleotides) under Numida meleagris (helmeted guineafowl). RNAcentral's name for it is "lncRNA (ENSNMEG00000010069.1)". Lineage: Eukaryota; Metazoa; Chordata; Aves; Galliformes; Numididae. The record is from RNAcentral.